This 253-nucleotide ribosomal RNA is filed under the name uncultured bacterium. RNAcentral describes it as "partial 16S ribosomal RNA". It matches the Rfam family "Bacterial small subunit ribosomal RNA", at positions 524 to 776 of the family's 1533-position model. The record is from RNAcentral.
UACGGAGGGUGCAAGCGUUAUCCGGAUUCACUGGGUUUAAAGGGUGCGUAGGUGGGUCUGUAAGUCAGUGGUGAAAUCUCCGUGCUUAACAUGGGAACUGCCAUUGAUACUAUAGAUCUUGAAUUUUCUGGAGGUAAGCGGAAUAUGUCAUGUAGCGGUGAAAUGCUUAGAUAUGACAUAGAACACCAAUUGCGAAGGCAGCUUACUACGGGAACAUUGACACUGAGGCACGAAAGCGUGGGGAUCAAACAGG